This 87-nucleotide transfer RNA is filed under the name Candidatus Liptonbacteria bacterium. RNAcentral's name for it is "tRNA-Ser". It matches the Rfam family "tRNA". Rfam says of the family: Transfer RNA (tRNA) molecules are approximately 80 nucleotides in length. Their secondary structure includes four short double-helical elements and three loops (D, anti-codon, and T loops). The record is from RNAcentral. RNAcentral also lists the same sequence under 1 other name. Lineage: Bacteria; Candidatus Liptoniibacteriota.
GGAGGAGUCGCAUAGCGGCCUAGUGCACCAUCUUGGAAAGAUGGCAUACCUUUACCGGUAUCGUGGGUUCAAAUCCCACCUCCUCCG